GACGAACGCUGGCGGCGUGCCUAAUACAUGCAAGUAGAACGCUGAAGAGAGGAGCUUGCUCUUCUUGGACGAGUUGCGAACGGGUGAGUAACGCGUAGGUAACCUGCCUUGUAGCGGGGGAUAACUAUUGGAAACGAUAGCUAAUACCGCAUAACAAUAGGUGACACAUGUCAUUUAUUUGAAAGGGGCAAUUGCUCCACUACAAGAUGGACCUGCGUUGUAUUAGCUAGUAGGUGAGGUAACGGCUCACCUAGGCGACGAUACAUAGCCGACCUGAGAGGGUGAUCGGCCACACUGGGACUGAGACACGGCCCAGACUCCUACGGGAGGCAGCAGUAGGGAAUCUUCGGCAAUGGGGGCAACCCUGACCGAGCAACGCCGCGUGAGUGAAGAAGGUUUUCGGAUCGUAAAGCUCUGUUGUAAGUCAAGAACGAGUGUGAGAGUGGAAAGUUCACACUGUGACGGUAGCUUACCAGAAAGGGACGGCUAACUACGUGCCAGCAGCCGCGGUAAUACGUAGGUCCCGAGCGUUGUCCGGAUUUAUUGGGCGUAAAGCGAGCGCAGGCGGUUUGAUAAGUCUGAAGUUAAAGGCUGUGGCUCAACCAUAGUUCGCUUUGGAAACUGUCAAACUUGAGUGCAGAAGGGGAGAGUGGAAUUCCAUGUGUAGCGGUGAAAUGCGUAGAUAUAUGGAGGAACACCGGUGGCGAAAGCGGCUCUCUGGUCUGUAACUGACGCUGAGGCUCGAAAGCGUGGGGGAGCGAACAAG
Molecule: ribosomal RNA, 766 nt
Filed under: uncultured Streptococcus sp.
Lineage: Bacteria; Bacillati; Bacillota; Bacilli; Lactobacillales; Streptococcaceae
Description: bacterial SSU rRNA
Rfam family: Bacterial small subunit ribosomal RNA
Source: RNAcentral